AUCCCACGCGCUCUCUCCUCAGGAGCAGCAUCAAUUUCAUCGUACUUCUUGGGUGCAGACCCUCCCAUAGCAGCAAGCGCCAUGGUCAACGCAGCAGUCAGAGUGGUUUUCCCAUGGUCAACGUGCCCAAUUGUGCCUAUAUUGAUAUGGGGUUUCUUCCUUUCGAAUUUCCCACGCGCUGCGCGUACGGUCAGCCUGGUGGCGCGUGAGCGAAACGGGGAGGUGGGUGUUUGAAAUUGGGAGGACAACGUUGAUGGGUUGGCGAGAAAAGAGGAGGUGAGGAUAAAUUUCCGUGAACUUGUCGGAGAAAAGGCGGAAUUAGGGUUAGGGUUUGCAGGGUUUAUGAGGUUUAUAGAAGAAGAUAGAGCUGAAAUCGCCAUUUUUGCUUCCAGCAAACAAGAGGGGUUUGGAGAAUUUUGGGAGAGAUGAGAUAAUAACAAGGAGAUUGUGUGUUUUGUGUGAGUGUGUGUUCUCCUUUAUCUAUCUACAACACAACAUUUUGUAUCUAUAGUCUGUAGAGAUACAAUUUCUAACCUCAUAUCUCACCCUAUCCACUUUCACAAUUUCAAGAUAACAUUUUCAUUUUUACUGUUUUUCUAAAAUUAAAUAAAUAAAUUACAAAAAAAAAAUAAACAAACAAGAGAUUUGGGAAGAGUUUGCUAUGUGUUCAGAGUGAAUUUAUGGUUUGUAGAAAUUUUCAUUAUAAAUAUUUAUUUUUCUACUCCAAGUGUUCAUGAAAGGCACUAGUUGAUUUCUAAAUGCUUUGGUUUUUUAAGUUGUUUGUGACAUGUUCUUUGAUGUUUCAGUUUUGCUAAAUCUCUGGCUCUCUUGGAAAUUUUUGUGGUUGUUGAAGUGCAUUUGUGUCGCUCUGUAAACUACAUGCUACUCCAACCAACAAGUGAAAUUAUAUCUGAUAAAGCCAUCAAAUCCCAAAAAUAAAUUUUUUGUAAUCAAUACUUCUGCAGAGAAUAUUGGAUACAACUUGAUAUAACUCUAUAAAGCUCGUAUUGAUUCAUUUAAAUAAGAUCAUGGUGCAGAUAAUGACAUUAUUGUGAGCCGGUGAACCAUUUCAUAGCAAUCUGCCUUGCCACCCGAAAGACUGAAUCCAGUUCUGUACCUCCUGGAGGCACACAUCUAACUUGUUCUUAAGCGGAUUCAGUCUAUCCCUAAGAUAGUAGAGUUUAGCCCUCCUCACUUUCUUCUUGUCCAGCACCUUUAUCUCCUUUAUAUUAGGCGAAUACCUGCACCAGACACCCUAUUUGGUCACCAAGUGCAGGAAUGUCAAAGAAAAGAUGUAAUCAAAGCACAGAACCAAAAUCCUUAAGUGCUUUUAAUUAUUAUGUGAACAGGUUCACAUAAUCAAGCAAAAGACUUGCAGCAACAAGCAUGUCCAAGUAAAUAUACAAUCAGUAAUGUAUUAAUCUUUGAAGGUGAGAGGCCAUAUCUAACUUUGUAAAUUGAAUUGUACAUCAAGUAUAUUUAAACAGAACAGCUAGUACUUGGUAACUAGAAGACUAUCACUUUCAAAAAACUGGUACACCUCAUGAUAUAUGUUACAGUUCAUCGAGUUCUUUUGUAACCAACUCUUAACAUGACAAUAUCACUAAGUUCUGUCAAUUCACAAGAUACGAUGAAAGGCAAGAAGAGUAGUUGCAUUGUAGAUGCUGUAAGAUGAUAAAUUAAUUCAAGGGUCACAGAAUAGUCUCGCUUAGCAGCAAUUCGCCAUAUUUCAUUUGUUAUUACUAUUACAUAUACACCACCAGAGUUGAGCAUGAGCAAGUAAGAAUUUUAACACUGAGAGGAGAAAAAACGUAUUUCAGUGGACUAAAGCUAAUAAAUAUUCAUAGAGAGAAGUUCUGCAUGAGUAGGUUUCACCUUAUAAGAACUCUCGCAAACCAUUAUAUUGUGUUUGGUUGGAUAAUUUGGAAUGGACUGGAUGAUGGAUUGAAUUAAAGGGAAGUAAUGGAGGAAGGACGCAAGAUUUGAAAAUAAGAUAAUUCACUGUUAUGAGAUUUGGGAAGAGAACAGGGAUGAGGGAAACAGCUUCCAGAUAGACUGAAAACUUUUGCAACCUUUUGAAAAGCAUUUAUAUUAACUAAAUAACUAAUAGCACUGAAGAAGCCAUCUGCAGUAUAACAGAAUUCAUAUACACCACUUACCUAGACACACAGAGCAACUCAAGUCAUCGAAAAUAAUACAAGAAAGUCCGCGGCAGCCCCAGAAAAGCAGACAAGCAUACUGUAUUUUCAUAAUAUAGCCAGCCAUUAUAAAGUCAUCCAUGUAUAGAUUAUACAGCUGAACAGAAUCCCACAAUAACAAAGAAGGGCAUGUAUAUCAUUAUUUGUGAGCAAAUUGCAAUGAAACUGUGACAUCCAAAAUAUUUCAGUAACAGUUAUGCAUACAAAUUAUUAGUUAAUUCUUGCUGAAGUUGAGAUUGGAUACCAUGGACCCAUGAUCAAAACAGAAGUAACAAUAAGUAGACAGAUUUCUAUGAGGCAAAUCACAAUGUGAAGUAGUACAGAUAAUCAUUAAAUGCCAUUUGCAGUUGCAGAUAUACCGGUGACUUGUUGAAUAUGUAGCUAAGCAAGUGAUUUUAUGUUCAAUACACUCCUGAUCUAUAACUUCUCCACGGAGAAUAGUUGUAGAACUACAUAACUUUUAAGAGAGCAGCAUCAGCAUCUCAAGUAGAGCCGGCCAAACGGGCGGGCCGUGCCGGUUCGGGCCGGUUCAAACGGGUUCCGAACCGUCAUCGGUGGAACCGUAACCGGCCCGUCAAACUGGCGGUCCGUGCCGUGCCCGGGCCGGGCUGGGAAAAAGAAAGUCGUAACCGUGAUAUACGGUUUACACGGGUUUUGCGGUUCAGCGGUUCGGGCCGAAUAAUAACAUGCUGCGGUUCUACGGUUCGGUUAUACGGUUCACGGGUUUGCGCAUGUGACUUUGUGUUAGUAACUAAAGUACAACAGUUGUCAGUGGCUGAAUCACUGUCAAGUCCAACAGAGACACAUAGUACUUGUUUUAUUUUUUGUUUCUUUUUUGUUUUUUUUGCCGGUUUAUUUUUGUUUUUAUUUUUUUUAAUUUAGUUUAAGUAUUAUUAUGUAACUAAUUAAGAGAUCGUAAAUUUAUGGAUUAAGUAUUAUUAUGCAACUAAUUAAUAAAUUAAUGGGUUAAGUAUUAUUAUGUAACUAAUUUUAACAAUUCUUUAAUGUUAAAAAUUGGAUAAUAAAGUUUUAUAUGAUAUUAGUUUUGGAAAUUAUUUUUGUUUAGUGUUAUUAUGUAAUUAAUUAUCAAUAAAGUGUAAACUAAUAAAUAAUUACCUAAUUUUAAAAACUUAUCCGAAAUAAAACUAAUUAAAUUAUUUUUAAAAAUAAAAUUACCUAAAUUUAAAAACUGCACCGAAACAAAAUUAAUUAAUUCUUUUGCAAAUAAAAUUACUGAAAUUUAAAAACUAAAACGACACGAAAUAAAAUUAAGUAAUUUUUUUAUAUAGUAAACGAAAAUAAACUAAACUAACUAAACAACAACUAAAAUUAACAAAAUAAAACAAAAACUAACAAAUUAAAACUCAUGCAAAAAGAACAGAAAGCAUUGUGAAGUUUGCUGAUGGACUAAAAAUUGGUGGUCGAUGCACGAGUCUACGGUUCCGCGGUUCCGCGGUUCAAACCGCGGUUCCGCGGUUCAAACCAGGCCGGUUCCACGGGUUUCCGCGGUUCCGGGCCGGUUACGGUUCGGUCUUCCAUUUCCUAACCCGUAUUCGGCACGUGCUCAGUAUCGGUUCAGGUCGGUUUUGAACCGGCCCGUGUUUAGACGGUUACGGGCGGUUAAAAAGUCGGUUCGGGGCGUGCCGGUUCGGUCGGUUCGGCCCGUUUGGCCACCUCUAAUCUCAAGUAGCUAAGCAACAUUAAUAAGGGUGACACUAAGAAAGAAAGUCAAAACAAAUUAAUUUGAACAUGAGAUAGUACAAUCCAACUAAAAGGAGAGCUAAGAAAUUUAGAACCAAACUCGUUGCUGCAUAUGUAACAUUGGAUUCAGCAUGUUUAAGAGACAAGGGGCAAAACUAUUUUAAAAAAGAAAAAAGACAAAAGAUUGAAACUUUGAAUCACCCAAAAGUGAAGGCCAUCCCACCAAGUUCAAUCACUCAAUAAUGGCAUUAAUAACUCCAGCACCAACAGUCUUUCCUCCUUCUCUAAUAGCAAACCUCAUUCCUUGCUCACAAGCAAUCGGCACAAUAAGCUCCACAACCAUCUUCACACGGUCACCAGGCAUAACCAUUUUCGACUCUUCAUCCUUCUCAUUCUUAAUAGUAGUCACUUUCCCAGUGACAUCUGUAGUUCUCAUGUAAAACUGAGGCCUGUAUCCAGUGAAAAAAGGUGAAUGCCUCCCACCUUCAUCCUUCUUCAAAAUAUAUACAAUCGCCUCAAACUUUGUAUGAGGUGUAAUCGAUCCAGGCUUAGCCAAAACCAUCCCUCUCUGGAUAUCAAUCUUCUGAAUACCUCUUAACAACAACCCGACAUUAUCACCAGCCAAAGCCUCAUCAAGAAACUUCUGAAACAUUUCAACUCCAGUCACUGUUGUACCCCUAGUAUCCUUCAACCCCACAAUAUCAACGGUCUCCCCAACCUUAAUCGUCCCUCUCUCAACACGACCAGUGGCAACAGUCCCACGUCCCGUGAUCGAAAAAACAUCCUCAAUUGCCAUUAAGAAGGGCAACUCAGUCUGCCUCUGUGGAAUAGGAAUAUAACUAUCAACAUUAUCCAUCAAAGCAUAAAUCUUGUCAACCCACUCAUUGUCCCCUCUCUUAAUCGCGGGAUUCUCCAUCAGUGCUUCCAAUGCCAACAAUGCUGAUCCUGACACAAUUGGAAUAUCAUCCCCUGGAAACUCAUACUUAUUCAAUUCCUCCCUAACCUCCAACUCCACAAGCUCCAAAAGCUCGGCAUCAUCAACCUGAUCCUCUUUAUUCAAGAAAACAACCAUAUUCGGAACCCCCACUUGUUUCGCCAACAAAAUGUGUUCUUUAGUCUGUGGCAUUGGCCCAUCAGCACCCGAAACCACUAAAAUCGCUCCGUCCAUCUGCGCAGCCCCUGUAAUCAUAUUCUUGACAUAAUCAGCAUGCCCUGGACAAUCCACAUGAGCAUAAUGCCUACUCUCAGUCUCAUACUCAACAGUAGCUGUAUUAAUAGUAAUCCCACGCGCUCUCUCCUCAGGAGCAGCAUCAAUUUCAUCGUACUUCUUGGGUGCAGACCCUCCCAUAGCAGCAAGCGCCAUGGUCAACGCAGCAGUCAGAGUGGUUUUCCCAUGGUCAACGUGCCCAAUUGUGCCUAUAUUGAUAUGGGGUUUCUUCCUUUCGAAUUUCCCACGCGCUGCGCGUACGGUCAGCCUGGUGGCGCGUGAGCGAAACGGGGAGGUGGGUGUUUGAAAUUGGGAGGACAACGUUGAUGGGUUGGCGAGAAAAGAGGAGGUGAGGAUAAAUUUCCGUGAACUUGUCGGAGAAAAGGCGGAAUUAGGGUUAGGGUUUGCAGGGUUUAUGAGGUUUAUAGAAGAAGAAGAUAGAGCUGAAAUCGCCAUUUUUGCUUUAAGCAAACAAGAGGGGUUCGGAGAAUUUUGGGAGAGAUGAGAUAAUAACAAGGAGAUUGUGUGUUUUGUGUGAGUGAGUG
This 5651-nucleotide long non-coding RNA is filed under the name Daucus carota (carrot). RNAcentral describes it as "long non-coding RNA (DCAR_LNC005292)". The record is from RNAcentral. Lineage: Eukaryota; Viridiplantae; Streptophyta; Magnoliopsida; Apiales; Apiaceae.